Molecule: unclassified non-coding RNA, 381 nt
Filed under: uncultured fungus
Lineage: Eukaryota; Fungi
Description: partial contains 5.8S ribosomal RNA and internal transcribed spacer 2
Rfam family: 5.8S ribosomal RNA (bases 1-133)
Source: RNAcentral
UGGCUCUCGCAUCGAUGAAGAACGCAGCGAAAUGCGAUAAGUAAUGUGAAUUGCAGAAUUCAGUGAAUCAUCGAAUCUUUGAACGCACCUUGCACCCUUUGGUCUUCCAAAGGGUACACCCGUUUGAGUGUCAUUGUAAUCUCACUACGAUCGACUUUAUUGUCUUUUGGUAUGUGGACUUGGAUGUUGCCGUAGAUUCUACGACUCGUCUGAAAUGCCUGAGUGUACCCCGUUUUGCGGCGUAUUCGGUGUGAUAAAUCUUCACCGGAGUUGAUCCCUUGUGGGUCGCGUCUUGUAAUGUGUGGCUCUAUGCUUCCAACCGUCUCUGAUGGGACAAUCUCUUGACAAUUUGACCUCAAAUCGGGUGGGACUACCCGCUGA